This is a non-coding RNA of Meleagris gallopavo (turkey), 3282 nucleotides long. The record is from RefSeq and is a predicted model, not a curated record. Lineage: Eukaryota; Metazoa; Chordata; Aves; Galliformes; Phasianidae.
UUUGUAAAGCAUUUUGCACAUUCCAGAACUCUCCCAGCUUCCCAAACACAACUUAUGCACAGCCUGACAGCUUUCACUUCUAAGAUGAUCUGAUGUUCUAGUAACAUUUGUUCAUCUUUUUUUUUUUGCCUCACUUCAAGUUUCAAACACAUCUUGUCACAGAACAAAUAUUUUCUCUGUUCUAGUUUCCUAGUAAUUCGACAGAUCUCUGUGGAAUUUCAUCCUGAAGUUUGAGUCUUUCUGAUUGAUGUGAAAGAUGGAGAGCGCCAGAAGUGACAGUUUCUCUUUCCCGGGGGAAUCACGCCAGAUCUCGCGAGACAGGACGGCGUGGCGUGGGCGUUGCCAAGGCAACGACGGCCGCACCCACGCCCUUAUAAAAAGCCUCCGGGCUGCGGUGGAAAGGAGUCGUCGGUGCGUGCGCAUCGCGCGGGUUGUUUAAACGUGGGGAAACCGUAAGCCCUCCAUUCACGUGUCAAUGUAGCGAGGCGGCAGAGGCUCGAUGAAUUUUAAUGUCCGAGAAGAACAUGGACUGUAUGUGAAGGCAGGGAAUCUGCUCUGUUGUUGUCGUCAUUGACCUCUGAUAUCACUUGGAGCAAGACAACCAAUGAUAGCAGUGACCUGACUCUGGAGUGGCAAGAAAGGUGUUACAGCUGUGGAGAAGGGUUCCCCAGGGAAGGAAGAGCUGCAAUCCCAUCUGUCAGACUGGGCAUGGAUGUACAAGGCAAAAAGCAGGGUGAAGACACCAGCCCUGCUGCACAGUGCGGGAGUUGGGGAAUUACUGAGCCCUCACAAAGACCAAACUUCUGUGAGCCAUGCGGGGAAAGGGAGCUGUGCCUUCUGAUCUGUGCUCCACGUGCCAUUCGUUCAUAUUACGUUAGAUGCCGAGUUAAAAACCAUAUCAUUCCGCUGUUGGAGAGAAAGGGAGUCCCAAAGUCCAACUCCCUUUUCCCUAGAGCAAUACUGUUGUUGGGAGUCGUGAGGAAUUUGCAGUUAUUCCACAGAAGCUGCACUGCAACAAAGCAAACUGUGCAACCCAUUUAUCACAGACUGCUCCCAGUUCCUAUCUUAAGUGAGAGGGGAGUCAAUUAACAAAUGAAAACAGAAGAACCAAAGCACACUCUCUGUUUAGAUCACAGGAUGUCAGUAAAACCGUGCAAUAGCAGCAGGAGCUUUUCCUGGAUGUGGUUUUGGAAUACAUAGGAGACAGUGCUAAAGCUGAAAUGCCAACCUUGAAAAGGGACCAUUACCUUUAUAGUGAGAUCUGCCUGCUUUCAUAGCUCGAUCACCAACGUUUUCCAGCUUCGUGGAUUUGUCGACCCAACAUAUGUGAAGGACAGAAAUAUUAGCUUUACAAAUCAGGAUAAAAAUGACACACACUGAAAGCCAAAGCUGGUUAAUGAGAAGGGAUUUUCGAAAUGUCACUCAUCUCAUUUCCCACAUUUCGUUUAUUUCCAAGAAUUGGUAUCUCUUUUCUUUCCAUGAAAGUCCAUUUUCAACUAACCUUCUUUCAAUCUACUUCUAAUCAAAUAAUAAUUAGUUUUCGAAUUAAAUUAAUUUAAUUUAUUAGUCAAAUUACAACUCAGCAAAAAGGAAACCACAGAUAUAUUUAUAACUUAUUUUAUCUUUAUUAUUGCUAACAAGGUUUGAGGAGAAAUGAUCUCCUGACAAAGCUGUUAAGUAGGCAGACAUGAUCACAGACUGUAAUGCAAUGGAAAGGGCACAGAAGAAAAGUCAGAUGCUCAUCUUCUGGGAGUCAGAGUGAAAUCCUAGUGGAGGUAGGAGGGAGAUAGAGCCAGUCUUCCCAUAGUAUUGAUGAUUAUUCAUCCCGCUUUUUAAAAAAUGCAGUAGAUGUGAAGGUUAGUGCUGUGUUUUGUUGGGUUUUAAGAGGCAAAUGUCCAGAGAGACUGUGCAGAUAUGGGAAAAUAAAGCUUUUUCAGGCAAAAGCUUCCAACUGGAUCCCAGUUGAUGAAGCUGUCUUUGCAGCACAGUGAUUUCCCCACACCGUGCCCUCUCCUGUCUGCUCAGCACCCAUCUGCAUGUGAGAGAUGACCUGAAAGCAGUCACCUGCUGAAUGGUGCAGGGUCACCCACUGCUGAGCACGUUCCUAGGCACCGAGGUCUAAGCAGAGGUGUCUACAGGGAGAAAUUCAGGCAGCCCGAAGGCUUCCCCCAAUCUGACCACUACACAGGGGCACAAAUACCAUCUGGGUACUAAGUGUGAAAUGGACCAAAGAAACAGAAUGAAAUCCGAAUGGAAAUCAAGGAAAAGAAAGCUACUCUCCACUUGGAUUAAGCCCGAUUUGGCAGAGCUCAGAUGAUUUGACUGACAAAAUAACCAUGAGCACAGGAGCUCAGCCUUGCUGGCAGCUGUGGGCGCACAGACAGAAGGCUGUCGGCUUUUGGGAGAGGCUCUCCAGCUCCAUGGGAGCACUGGGAAUUGGUGGGGGCUUGGGGAGCAGCAGGGCAUGGGAUGGGCUGGUGGGUCAGAGAGUAGCUCAGCCUGUCCUCAUCCCCAUUGUUCUCUUGUGUGACUUGUGCUCUGCCAUUCUGCCUGCAGCUCUGCCAGCUAUUCCGCAGCCUCAUCUUUUUCCAGUCUCAGCUCUUGCCUACUAAUGUGUUUCAGGCACAGAAAUUUCAUUAAAGCUGCACUGAUGUCCACAGGCUUUAGCCAUGGACUUUAUCGUUAAGUGGGUUUUAUUUCAGCCAGUACACAAAUUACCCUCUGGUCUUAGGUGGGGGGAAGGAGGCGUGCAAAGAAGGGAAAAGAAGCAAAAAACCCACCCCUUCCCAUCCAUCCCAAGCUGCCAUCAAAUAGUCAUCUCUGUCCUAAUGAAAACAGAUGCACAGAGAUAAAAAGGAACCAAUAAGGACCACAUUUCAGUAAUGCUGUGACAGUGCUUAACACUGCCAGGGACGAGAGAGGAUCAGCAAUGCUGCCUCGGAAAUGCAGCUCAUCUCAGCCUGCUCUCCUCACUGCCUUCACCCCGGGUGCUGACCUUAAUGUUUCAGUUAAUUGGAGGCAUUUGGAAACUGAGUUCUCUCGUUUAGCUUUGUGGAAGGUUUUAAUGUGGGGAUUAUUUAGCCAUUAGCUCAGGCUUUCGGUUUUUCUGGAUUAGGAUUCCAACAAGCUACUUAUCCUCGGUGACACGGAUGGGCCUGAGUGGCAGAGCCUCCAGCUGGAGCCAAGCAUAUUUCUCAUUUGGGGAUAUGGCUGAGUAUUUUUUCCAUCUCCUGGCCUUUGUUCAGUCCCGCAGAACCAAAAAGCAACCUGUAAUACCCCUCA